UGUCUUCUCAAGGAGAACAAGGGAACAAGC
RNAcentral lists this non-coding RNA (30 nucleotides) under Rattus norvegicus (Norway rat). Lineage: Eukaryota; Metazoa; Chordata; Mammalia; Rodentia; Muridae. The record is from RNAcentral.